Cylas formicarius (sweet potato weevil) is the source of this 380-nucleotide long non-coding RNA. RefSeq lists it as uncharacterized. The transcript is spliced from 3 exons. The record is from RefSeq and is a predicted model, not a curated record. Lineage: Eukaryota; Metazoa; Arthropoda; Insecta; Coleoptera; Brentidae.
CAAAUGUGCCUGUUUUGGAUUUCGUUCCUCAGUUUCACUUGAAAGAGCACUAAAGUGGCUGUCCGACUGUCCGAAAAUAUAUUAUUCCGCUCACGUAGAAUAUGUGGUAUUUCCAUCCUUUGGUAAUCUCCAUGGAUGCUAACCUCCAGAUAUACAUCAAUAGGGCACAUGGCAUUGCGCCAAAUGCAAAUUGAUAAUUGUAAUUAGCAGCUUCUGAAGAUGACAGAAGAAAUUCUAGCGAAACUUAGCCGACAACGAACGGAAAAACACCCGGGUGAACACCAGCACACACAAAUAUAGAAAGUAAUUUACAUUUCUCUAAAACCACUAAAAUUCAGUAUAAGAAUUGUAUUCUACGAAAAUGCUCAGAAAUCAGUAGC